AACUACAACGUGAGUCAAUGGGUAUAUAAAGAACGAGAGACACCGAGGUCGGGAUUCACGAAUUGGAAAAGAACCCGCAACAUUGAGUCACUGUGAAAUUUCUGAUACAAGAAAAGACAGUAAGGAAAUCACCAUGAAAGGAAGUGGUUCACUCGUAACUAUAUGCCUUCUCGUUUUGAUCACAGGUUUUCACCAGAUACAAGCCGAAACCUGCCCCACCUAUGUUGCGUGCCAACGUUUUUGCAACAGCUAAAUGUGAAUAUUUUCCGAGAGCAAGAUGUGUUGAGGCCACAUGUGGGUGCGGUAUUGACUUUUUUGUAGGUGAUAUACGUGUGACGGCAUACUGCUCGAUCCCAAUAUUUAGAUAUUAUGGAUAUAAUAAAUAAUCUUCUUGAAUUUAGUUCAUGAAUCAUAUCUCAUUAUUA
Molecule: long non-coding RNA, 425 nt
Organism: Octopus sinensis (East Asian common octopus)
Lineage: Eukaryota; Metazoa; Mollusca; Cephalopoda; Octopoda; Octopodidae
Exons: 3
Source: RefSeq, a predicted model, not a curated record